AUCGCCCUCUUUCUUUAGGCCUAACACAUGCAAGUCGAACGGCAGCACAGUAAGAGCUUGCUCUUACGGGUGGCGAGUGGCGGACGGGUGAGGAAUACAUCGGAAUCUACUUUUUCGUGGGGGAUAACGUAGGGAAACUUACGCUAAUACCGCAUACGACCUACGGGUGAAAGCAGGGGAUCUUCGGACCUUGCGCGAUUGAAUGAGCCGAUGUCGGAUUAGCUAGUUGGCGGGGUAAAGGCCCACCAAUGCGACGAUCCGUAGCUGGUCUGAGAGGAUGAUCAGCCACACUGGAACUGAGACACGGUCCAGACUCCUACGGGAGGCAGCAGUGGGGAAUAUUGGACAAUGGGCGCAAGCCUGAUCCAGCCAUACCGCGUGGGUGAAGAAGGCCUUCGGGUUGUAAAGCCCUUUUGUUGGGAAAGAAAAGCAGCAGGUUAAUACCCCGCUGUUCUGACGGUACCCAAAGAAUAAGCACCGGCUAACUUCGUG
This 492-nucleotide ribosomal RNA is filed under the name uncultured bacterium. RNAcentral's name for it is "partial 16S ribosomal RNA". It matches the Rfam family "Bacterial small subunit ribosomal RNA", at positions 36 to 507 of the family's 1533-position model. The record is from RNAcentral.